ACUGCUUUUCUUGGAGGGGCCGGAUACAGAGAGCCUCCAUGUGAACCUUUAGCACAUUUGGAAAUUCUUGGCAACAUGCUUCAUUUCAUUUUGGAGGCAAGAGAUGGCGGAACAAUACACUGGAAGGCAUUGCAUCAUCUUUUCCCUCACCUGUCUCCAAGGAUCUGUCCUUUGUAAAUCGCUGUGGUCAUCAGUCUUCACAUAUUGAAACCUUGGAGCUACUCCAUGGUGGAUUACAACUGAUUUCCCAUGUUUACUGGAAUGCCAUUGGGAAUGGGGCUCAUCUUUGAAAGGAGUUCUAUUAACCAAGUGCCUGGAGGCCUGGGAUCUACGGCUCAGAAUUCCCGACAUCAGAAUUGUUGUGUGGAGUCAGUACUCACAGGAGAUUUGGAAAGCAGAAGAGAAACAGAAGCCAUUUUAUCAGUCCUUUGAUAGCAGCAAGCAGAUUCAUGGACUCUGGCAGAACACAGACUUUUGGUUGUUUUCACUCAAAUCACCUGCUUUGAUGCUGAGCCUUGCAAUCAUGAUCAGUUACUCCCUGGGUUCCUACAGCUUCCUAACCCCUCAGCUGGCUGCAAACUCAGACCCAGCAGUGAACCACGCAGACCUCCACGCUUCCUGACAGUCUUCCCGACAACUCCGUAAAUGCUUAAUUCCCUUCACUGAAACCCCUUAGCAGUUUAAAAUACCUACAGUCUUCUGUUUUCUUGAACAGCCUUGACUGAUACAAACAGAAACCCUAAUGCCAAGUCCUACAACUGCCAUCACGUAAACAAGUCUGCAGCGAUAUUCCAACACGCUGAGGAUGCUGCGAUGGAAAGAUACCAGGUUCCGUAGGACACUAUCGAGCCAGCGCUCCAGCUCUAGACUACGUUAUAGUCUCACUGCUAUUUUUGUGAAGAAAAAUCAAAUAUAUUUGGUCAGCCAGAUUAGUCAAGUUUUCACGUAUUUUUAGCCAAAGCAUUCUUAAUGUUUACACUCAGAUUCUCAGCUGUAAAAUGGGGCUACAAUAAAGUCUCGUAGGUACAACAAAUGCAGUGUGUUUGGCAUAUAGUGAUCGCUUCAAUGUUAGUGAUUAAUAUUGAAUCAUUUUACACAUCUUCAAAUUAAAAAUAAGAUGUAUCUCUUCCUUGGAAUGAAAUUUCCAAGAAGGAGCACUCAUAUAAAUAAAAUAGGCUUUUCUAAAUUUGAGCCUGAAGAUUCAGUUAAAGUAGUGAAUAGCAAGUGAUAGUAUAUUUGGAUGACUACUUUCUAUUUCAUUGACAAAUGGAAUUAGUGGGAGCAUUAUGUGGAGACCCAUGUGUGACGUGCACACCGUAUCUGAAAAACAUAAGGAAGAGAUUGGGCUUGAGAUAGGCCGAUGCAAUGUAAGGAAAAACAAACUUUAAUGUUAUGGGUAUAAUUUUUUCCUCCUAAUGGAAUGUUCUAUAAAUAUUUCUCAUUUUAUAAUAACUUACU
Molecule: long non-coding RNA, 1458 nt
Organism: Mustela lutreola (European mink)
Lineage: Eukaryota; Metazoa; Chordata; Mammalia; Carnivora; Mustelidae
Exons: 4
Source: RefSeq, a predicted model, not a curated record